UACGAAGGGGGCUAGCGUUGUUCGGAAUUACUGGGCGUAAAGCGCACGUAGGCGGAUAUUUAAGUCAGGGGUGAAAUCCCGGGGCUCAACUCCGGAACUGCCAUUGAAACUGUAAGACUUGAGGAUGAGAGAGGUGAGUGGAAUUCCCAGUGUAGAGGUGAAAUUCGUAGAUAUUGGGAAGAACACCGGUGGCGAAGGCGGCUCACUGGCUCAUAUCUGACGCUCAGGCGCGACAGCGUGGGGAUCAAACAGG
Molecule: ribosomal RNA, 253 nt
Filed under: uncultured bacterium
Lineage: Bacteria
Description: partial 16S ribosomal RNA
Rfam family: Bacterial small subunit ribosomal RNA
Source: RNAcentral